GCACCUGCCCUAACACGGCCUUUUGUUGUGGCGUUCUGGCCUAAUGGCAGGUUUCUCUACUAGGCUGUUGUGCCUGGGGUGGCCAUAAUUUGAGAAAGUUAAGGACACCACAGCAUCAUCCCUCCCAUCGAAGGAACUCCCUCCAGUGUUGUCUGUGCUGCUUCCUUGCAGUGCUGGGCCUCUAAUACACACUCGUGAGGCAUGCUUUCGAAUCUGAAGGACUUUGGGUAGAGGAAAAGAAGAUCAGAAAGGCCAGGUGUGACACAAGAUGUGAGAAGGUGUCAGCAAGGAAGGAAAACCACCCAAACAGG
This is a long non-coding RNA of Erinaceus europaeus (western European hedgehog), 311 nucleotides long. RefSeq lists it as uncharacterized. The record is from RefSeq and is a predicted model, not a curated record. NCBI's taxonomy places the organism in Eukaryota, Metazoa, Chordata, Mammalia, Eulipotyphla, Erinaceidae. The transcript is spliced from 3 exons.